The sequence is a transfer RNA, 72 nucleotides long. It matches the Rfam family "tRNA". Rfam says of the family: Transfer RNA (tRNA) molecules are approximately 80 nucleotides in length. Their secondary structure includes four short double-helical elements and three loops (D, anti-codon, and T loops). Further hydrogen bonds mediate the characteristic L-shaped molecular structure. tRNAs have two regions of fundamental functional importance: the anti-codon, which is responsible for specific mRNA codon recognition, and the 3' end, to which the tRNAs corresponding amino acid is attached (by aminoacyl-tRNA synthetases). tRNAs cope with the degeneracy of the genetic code in two manners: having more than one tRNA (with a specific anti-codon) for a particular amino acid; and 'wobble' base-pairing, i.e. permitting non-standard base-pairing at the 3rd anti-codon position. The record is from Rfam.
GCCGGUCUAGUAUAGUGGUUAGUAUAUUUCUUUGUGGCAGAAACGACCCAGGUUCGAUUCCUGGGGCCGGCA